CACACACACACACACACACACACACACAGAAAAAGGAGCCGGGCCCAACCCAUAGCUGCUCAUCAGAAUCCAAAGACGCACAGCUCCCAGCAAGCUCUCGGCCCAGUAUGAAGGGCAUUUGUAAGAGGGUAACAGCAACCCACAGCAUAGUCCACUGCGACGAAUGAACCAUUCAAUAUCCUCUCUGAAGAGAAAGAAGCAACAAAGCCUCCUUCCUGGCUCACGCUCGCCGGCACAGAGCCCAUGUGCAUCCUGCACGGGGAACAGCAAGCUUCAAAGAGAACCCCUGGCCUCAAGUCAAGACCUAAGAAAGUGUGACCAAGUGCACAGAUUACUAAGGAGCCUGUGCGCAUCUGGCAUCACAAGAGUGUGAGUCCCAAACGUGGCUGCACUGCAAAAUCAUGGAAAGCACCGAAAAGUCACCCACUUACAAAUCGGCAUCAGAAUCUCUGGGGAUGGUGCCGAUAUUUUUUUCCCAAAGGGUGCUCAGGCACAGCCAAGUUUGGGAACCGCUGCCCUGAGUAAGCAGAAGGUGGCAACAUGUUACCUUCUGACCACGGCAUGAACACGAAGACCUCCCAGAAGAGACAGUUGUCACCCUACCUUUGAGGAAUGGACAGGUCUGUAGAGGGAACUUCAGCAAAGGGCCCCCAUACUGAGGAGCCCCACCAAGACCAGGGUGACCUGUGCACAGGGUACUGGUUCCCUACAAAAAGCAGGUCGGCUGGAGCAGGUCCGUGGCGAGGCGAGAGGCUGGGACAGCUGGGGAGCGCCACAUCCCAUGGACUGGAGGAGAGGCUGGAACCUAAAGCUGGCAAAUUCCCUUCUCCUAUUCACGCCACUUUUUUGGCCUUGUGAGGGGGCGGCCCCACCUGAAGGUGAGAAGGCAGAAGACACCGUGAGCUCUACUCCCCAUCUUCUGGAAGCUCCCGCUGCCGCCACGCCACCAAGGAAGAAUCUGAAGGCAAUCUCUACGUCUCCAGCCUCACCCCAGCCUCACACUGUUCUUAAAGAACAGGACGACAAGCAGACCCCCUCUAGUUACAUGAGCCUCGUUUGUGACACCUCCUCCAUCCAGCCUGUCUAAAAUCUCUCCCUUCCCCACAUACCCUCCCCCAUCUCCCUUGGCAGUCUCUUGUCCUAUGGGCCCUCAUUUCUUAACGUUCUAGCUCUCUGGCCAUCCGGGGGAGAAAUAAAAAUGGAGCCUUUUGUACUGUGGAGUAAAUGUACUCAUGCUUCUCAGCUACAAAAGGUUUCCAACUGCAGCAGCUUUCACGGACUGAUUGUAGCAGGCAGGCAAUUUAGUAGACAUUGUGCAAUUGGGGAAUUACUCCAGGAAUAGCUGGAAAACCAAAUGAGAUGUCCCAGGAAACGUAGCAGCUUCUGGACAAACGCAUUCGGCCUGCACUUGCUCCUGGCGCACGUGUGCCAAGCACUGGCCAAGUCCACGGCUGGGCCCUGCCUUUCGGGAGGGCCGACUUCAGACAGACCCACACAGGGACUCGGGCAGUUGGCUGUACGCUCCGGAACUGCCAGACUCUCUACGGAAGCAUGACUGGCGGGAAGCGGGCCGUGAACUCGCCCCGUGUAUCUCCAUGUUCCAUACGCCAUCACGGGUCACUCAUGGGAGAAGCUUGCCUAUCUACGCAUGUUUCUGGGUAACCUCAGUAUUAAUCUUUCUCUUGUCCCCUCUCAGUACAUCCUCAGGUGAAAAGGCAGUUUUUAAAGCACUAACGAAAUCAAAAAUAAAUGUGAGAGAAUCGGUGCCUCGUCCCUGAAGGCUGGGAAUCGUCCAUGACUACCUGACAGAGAUGUGGUUCCAGAGGUUUCUCCAACACAGAAUGCCUCCACAUCUGCAAGUCCAGUGUGGGCACUCUGAACACAUUUCCCAUAGAGACAACAUACAAAUCAGGGUUCACUGUCGGAGCAGGCUGACAGAGCUCCGUGUUAACUCACGUGGUACCAAAAGCAUAGUGCCAUCCUAUUGUUUCCAUAUUUUUACCAAGAUAUAAUUCCCACACAGUUCACCCUUUUAAAGUGUACAACUUAGUGGCUUUUAGCAUACUCCCAAAGUUGGGCAACUAUCACCUGUAUCUAAUUUUAGAACAUUCUGUCACCCCCUGAAAAAAGCCUGU
This is a long non-coding RNA of Prionailurus viverrinus (fishing cat), 2135 nucleotides long. RefSeq lists it as uncharacterized. Lineage: Eukaryota; Metazoa; Chordata; Mammalia; Carnivora; Felidae. The record is from RefSeq and is a predicted model, not a curated record. The transcript is spliced from 3 exons.